RNAcentral lists this ribosomal RNA (959 nucleotides) under uncultured archaeon SYA-141. RNAcentral's name for it is "partial 16S ribosomal RNA". It matches the Rfam family "Archaeal small subunit ribosomal RNA", at positions 23 to 1021 of the family's 1478-position model. The record is from RNAcentral.
GUUACUGCUAUCGAGGUUCGACUAAGCCAUGCGAGUCGAAUGUAGCAAUACAUGGCGUACUGCUCAGUAACACGUGGAUAACCUACCCUUGAGAUGGGAAUAAACCCGGGAAACUGGGUAUAAUACCCGAUAGAUCUCGACUGCUGGAAUGCAUCGAGAUCCAAAGCUUUGGCGCUCAAGGAUGGAUCUGCGGCCUAUCAGGUAGUAGUGGGUGUAGCGUACCUACUAGCCUACGACGGGUACGGGUUGUGAGAGCAAGAGCCCGGAGAUGGAUUCUGAGACACGAAUCCAGGCCCUACGGGGUGCAGCAGGCGCGAAAACUUUACAAUGCUGGAAACAGCGAUAAGGGGACCUCGAGUGCCAGGUUACAAAUCUGGCUGUCGUGAUGCCUAAAAAGCAUUGCAUAGCAAGGCCGGGCAUGACCGUGCAGCCGCCGCGGUAACACCGCGGUCGAGUGGUACCGUAUUAUUGGGUCUAAAGGGUCUGUACCGGCGGAUAAGUCUCUUGGAAAUUGCAGUUAACUGUAGGCUUUAGGAGAACUGCUGGUCGAGGCCGGAGAGGUAGAGGUACUUCAGGGUAGGGUAAAUCCUGUAUCCUUGGGGACCACUUGUGCGAAGGGCCUCACCAGACGGCUCCGACAGUAGGACGAAAGCUGGGGGACAACCGGAUUAGAUACCCGGGUAGUCCCAGCCGUAAACGAUGCGCGUUAGGUGUAUCGGUGACCACGAGUCACCGAGGUGCCGAAGAGAAAUCGUGAAACGUGCCGCCUGGAAGUACGGUCGCAAGGCUGAAACUUAAAGGAAUUGCGGGGGAGCACCACAACAGGUGGAGCCUGCGGUUUAAUCGGACUCAACGCCGGAAAUCUCACCGGAUAAGACAGCUGGAUGAUAGUCGGGCUGAAGACUCUACUUGACUAGCUGAGAGGAGGUGCAUGGCCGUCGUCAGUUCGUACUGUGAAG